This 4385-nucleotide long non-coding RNA is filed under the name Androctonus crassicauda. Lineage: Eukaryota; Metazoa; Arthropoda; Arachnida; Scorpiones; Buthidae. The record is from RNAcentral.
AGAAGGAGUAAAUUGGUGGGAAUGGCGGGAGUAGGGGGAGAGAGAGAGAGAGAGAGAGAGAGAAGGUCGGCAUAGUUUCUGUUCUGGUAAAUGUUUUCAGGCAAUUUGUUUAGUGGACGCCAUCCAUUGAUCGUAUUCCAAAAUUGAUGGCGGUGCUUCCAUUAAGCGGGAAAACGAAAUACAUCUAAGUCUUCUCUGUUGUUCAUAAAUUGUUUGCUCCACCAUCUAGUCAAACAGACUCUAUGAGAAUUUAUGUCCAAUGAUUGAUAGAGGUUUAGUACGUCAUACGAAUUGGAUUUUCCUAGACAAAUGGAGAUUGUUUUGCUCGAUAUCAACGUUGAAUAUUGCCAGUAUGAGGUAGAGGAAAUUUGCUUUUUUUACUCCGCCUUUUGAUUUAGGAUAGAAAUUGUAAUAUGAAUGCAAAUGAAUCGCUUUAAACUACCUCCUCUUCUACUAUCCAGCCGGUAUAAAUAUUUAAAAAAUUUGGCCCGCCGAUCAAAUAUUUAAACUUUAAUGCCCGCGCUAUCGAUUUAAUAAAGAUUUUAACCGACCGACGAUUUUUAAUUUCUUCUGGCCGGUCGGUACCGGCGACCAUUUAUACGCCUAUUACCCAUAAUUAAUUUGCCCACCUAGGUGGCGCCCCUGUCCCGGCUUUUCUGGGUCUGGCUGCGAUGUUCAGUCGUCGACCGUCCGACCGGUCACGUUUCGCUACCGUAACGGCUCGACAUCGAGUUCUGGCUUAAAUUUAUCUGCACUUUUUAUCCGCAUCUCGCUUCUAAUGGUAAUUAUAGUCAGAAAGGAAUUUUUCUUAUCUAUUCUAGACGCGAAGUAACGCUACCGUUUCCACAGACAGCCUCCACCGAGACUGGGGCCGUUUUUAAAUUUCCAUCGGUUACCUCCAAAUCGGGGAAUUCUGUGGCUCUUCGGUAUCCAUCCGAGGAAAUGACCACGGUCCCCCGUCGGCACCCACCGCGGAAGAAUAAAGGAGCACCCGCCCUCGGAAAUUAAAUGUUUCUUUUCCACUUCGGGAGAGAGUUUUGUAUUUACGGCUAGGCCUAGUCUGGUUCCAGCCAAAAAAUCGCGGUUAAGAAAAAACGAGUCGAGAAUAGUGGAAGAAGGUGGUUAUCUCGGCGCCGCAUCCGGGAGAUAGGAGGCGGAAAAGGGGUGAGAGGAAGUUGGCGGGUUUGAUCCCUUAACGGCGGGCGUACAAAGCGCGGACGAGAGGUGGGACGGGUAGGAGGGACGAGAGUUGUUACUUAAAACUGGCAGCGUAAUCAAACGGUUUUCACGGCUUUCUAACUGCGCAACAACUUUUCUAACACGAUUGGAAUUGAUUCCAACUCCCGCUAAAUCAGAUUGUAGAAAAGAGGAGACAGAUUGCCGGCGAAAUCCCCAGUGGCACUCAACAGAAAUGAUGGAUUGGACAUACCAUAUCGGAGUGUUUUAAUCCAGAAUUUGAUCCAGUACCGUAGGUGGAUUUUAAAUACCCCCUUCCCCCUCUCCCUCUUCGGCUAGAGAGUGAUUGAUGUUGUACUACUCGGUGUCAGAAAGUUUUUUUAAUCAUUUUUUUUUCGCCGUUUGGAAAAUAGUAAAGUGAAUAAUUUAAUUGGCGGAGAAAAACCUACUGUCAAAUUUGGCAUCUAGUCGGUUUUUGAUUAGCCGUAUAGACGAUUGGAGACGCGUCACUCAAGCCCGUUUCUAAAAGUAAGCGUACCGGCCAUUUUUACCUGGCUAGUCGAAAGGGGAAGGUUUAUUGGGAGCGCGGGCCAAAGAAAAACGUUCAACAGGUGCCGGUCGGGGACUUUACCGGGGCCAAACCCACUCUUCCCCUAACAUAAAUAAAUGUCUCCAUUUAUAAAGAGGCGCAUCGAUCACUCCGCUGCCAGAGACCGUUUUCCGAGUGGUAACUAGAAAUUUCGAUAAACGGCGGAUAGGUAGAUGGAAUUUGCAGCCGGGAAAAGGCGGUCUUAGACUUAAGUCGGUCCGACCGCUGUCCUCGGUUUAAAGAGGAGCCAGCGGUCGACCCGAUUUCUGAUGGAACCGACUCGAUUUCUGAUGGAAGUGGCGGCGGUUAACACUUAGUAGGAAAUUAAAAUACGGUCGGUAGGAAACAGAGUCCGACUCGACCCCCGUCCCACUAUAAAAAGAAGAAAUUUUCUGGGUUACUUCUUUUUCGCUAACAAGGAGAGGAAAUUUAUGGUGGAAUAGCGCGCAGCCUGUGAACGGUUUAAUAGCUGGCAGGUGCAACAAAAUCGUGUGAAGUUCCAUUAAGAAUAAAUUGAAGGUUGAAUAGAUUCUUAAAGAAACAGUCUCUCGGCCUGGCCAUUCAUUUAUUUACGUGGUUCUCCUCUAAUCGAUCAGUUGUGUGUAAUUAUUUUCUUCCAUUGGUGGUAAUUGCGUUUUUCACAACUUUUUUCUUCGCUUCUACUCGGCCUUAUCCGGUUAAAAGUGGCGAAGAACCAGAUUUUCAAUUUGAUAAGAAUGUUCGAAAUUAAGAGACCGGAAUAUCCCCGUCAUUAGAUGGCAGAAUGCGGACUCUUAAUGACGUCCCGCUACGGCUUAGCCGUAACCGGGACCGGCCCUUAAUAUACAAUUAGAUCGGCUCCAAAUGGCCGGAUGGACCGGGACGGCCGAGUCGAAGGUGUAGGACCCGAGGGGCAAACCCGUGAGUUGGCUGGGCCCCCUGGCGCUGGGGCCCAGACCCGCGGACCUUUUAUCGGCCCAGUCGGCCAUUUGUCUUCCCGGGCUAGUAGCUGUAAGAGGCGACGGCCCCCCAUCUUCUCCGUUCGACCAGAAAAUGCGUCCCGGUCUUACCGGUAGGGGAAAUAACGUCGGUGGCCGGUCUAAAAAUAGCCAGCGCCAGGGUCGUCCUUCGUACACUUUCGUCGGCGAGGUGAACGACCAGUCAGGGUCGACCGGUUGGGUAAACAGGGCCAACUGCCAAUCAUUAAUAUUAUUGUAACACGAAAAAUUUUUCUAAUUAUUCAUGAAUGGUUAAUCAAGAAAUUACAUUAAGCGCGGCUAUUUAUAAAAAUUCCUCGGCCGUGCCGCUUCCUUUUAUCCCUCCAGUCUCGACGACAACAAUUAAUUUUUAAGACACUUUUAAUCCUGGCCGGGUUGCAGACCGCUACCUCCAGACAUUAAUUAACCUAUAUUAAAACUCUUUCUCCAAAAACUCUUUCCCAUUUUUCCCGCCGAAAGAUGUACCGUUCUUCUUCCGUCCGGCCCUUCCCCACCAAUUCCCAAUUAAAUAUUAAAAUUGGUCGGGCCGUCCGCCCUAACCAAAUAUAACAUCCGAUAAAGACGCUUCCGUCUUUUAAUCCCCUUCUUUCUUUCCCUACUUCUCAUCCACCCAAAACAUCACCACCCCUCGAGUGGUUUCCCGGCCCGAUAAUUACGCCCCCACUUUUCUUCCACCAUUUUGGUAGAAACUGGUGUUACCCGACACGGUUAAAUCGACGAAAGCCAAGUAACCGACGGUAGGUAAAGUGACCUAUAAAAUUCCGAAAUAUCGACAGUGGCGGUAUUUCCUCUUAUCUUUUCCACCACCGACAGGUGGCGCGAUUCUUUUUACCAAUAACACGGUUAACCACCUACGGCCGACCAUUCCUACUGCGGUGGGUUUAAAUAAAUUGUAUGGUUUUCUGUAAGGAUUUAAUAGUUUUUGGAAAUCGCACUCUGGGGAAAGUAAGGACCACCCGAGAGUUUCGCUCUUAUGGGAAUAAGGUAAGCGGCUAAAGGAAUGACGGUGGUGGGUGGGAAACGUUUCCAAAAAUUAAGAUAUCUACCAAAUACGGGAUAGUAGAUAAACCGAGGGUUUUUCCCCGGCCGAAGAAGAAGCCGGUCCGACAGGCGAAACGGAGGUAAAGAGGGGUGUGCCGAGCUAGCCUCGGCCCCAUCGACGGGCCGCUAGCCCCGUAGUAGCCACAAAAAGAGAAAAGCGGACGAUAAUAAAGGUUUGUUGAUAGCGGCCGGAGAAAGGAAAAAGGAAAACCGUCAUUUAUAAAAUUCUAAUAACCAGUUUAGCUUUGACGUAACAAAACAAUGGUGGACGAUGACCCAAUCUCGUCCGUGGCUGUUUAAGAAUGAGGAAGCGACCACUUUUAACCUCGAUUAGAAAGCCGGCUGGGCCCGGAUGCCACUUUUUUAAAAUCCCCUUUCUCUAUCGUUUAACCGUGUCGCUUCGGGAAGUGUCGAGCCCGGUUAGUAAGAGUUAAAUGAAUGGCGGAUGUCACCUAAUCAGUUAAUGAUUCGAGUAGGAAUCGCUCCUUCCACCUCGCCCGUACACAGCCCGUUAGCCACGAACAAACCGUGUUAAUAGCAUUAAGCGCCGCUUUUUUUUUGUCCCGCCUGUUGUGCGCCUGUGUGUUAGUUUUUCUUCUUUU